Molecule: unclassified non-coding RNA, 186 nt
Filed under: fungal sp.
Lineage: Eukaryota; Fungi
Description: partial contains small subunit ribosomal RNA, internal transcribed spacer 1, and 5.8S ribosomal RNA
Rfam family: Eukaryotic small subunit ribosomal RNA (bases 1-47)
Source: RNAcentral
AAAGUCGUAACAAGGUUUCCGUAGGUGAACCUGCGGAAGGAUCAUUACAGAGAACGGGGUAACACCCGCCUCCCACCCACUGUGUACCGAUUUGAGCUCCGGCGGGAAACUGUCGGGGUCAAUCAACUCUUGUCUUUACAGGCGACAAAAAAAUUAAAACUUUCAACAACGGAUCUCUUGGUUCUG